This 433-nucleotide ribosomal RNA is filed under the name uncultured bacterium. RNAcentral's name for it is "partial 16S ribosomal RNA". It matches the Rfam family "Bacterial small subunit ribosomal RNA", at positions 29 to 507 of the family's 1533-position model. The record is from RNAcentral.
AACGAACGCUGGCGGCAUGCCUAACACAUGCAAGUCGAACGAGACCUUCGGGUCUAGUGGCGCACGGGUGCGUAACGCGUGGGAACCUGCCCUUAGGUUCGGAAUAACUCCCCGAAAGGGGUGCUAAUACCGGAUAAUGUCUUCGGACCAAAGAUUUAUCGCCUUUGGAUGGGCCCGCGUUGGAUUAGCUAGUUGGUAGGGUAAAAGCCUACCAAGGCGACGAUCCAUAGCUGGUCUGAGAGGAUGAUCAGCCACACUGGGACUGAGACACGGCCCAGACUCCUACGGGAAGCAGCAGUGGGGAAUAUUGGACAAUGGGCGAAAGCCGGAUCCAGCAAUGCCGCGUGAGUGAUGAAGGCCUUAGGGUUGUAAAGCUCUUUUACCCGGGAUGAUAAUGACAGUACCGGGAGAAUAAGCUCCGGCUAACUCCGUG